CUCCUGGAUUCAGCGGCGGACGGGUGAGUAAUGCCUAGGAAUCUGCCUGGUAGUGGGGGAUAACGUCCGGAAACGGGCGCUAAUACCGCAUACGUCCUGAGGGAGAAAGUGGGGGAUCUUCGGACCUCACGCUAUCAGAUGAGCCUAGGUCGGAUUAGCUAGUUGGUGGGGUAAAGGCCUACCAAGGCGACGAUCCGUAACUGGUCUGAGAGGAUGAUCAGUCACACUGGAACUGAGACACGGUCCAGACUCCUACGGGAGGCAGCAGUGGGGAAUAUUGGACAAUGGGCGAAAGCCUGAUCCAGCCAUGCCGCGUGUGUGAAGAAGGUCUUCGGAUUGUAAAGCACUUUAAGUUGGGAGGAAGGGCAGUAAGUUAAUACCUUGCUGUUUUGACGUUACCAACAGAAUAAGCACCGGCUAACUUCGUGCCAGCAGCCGCGGUAAUACGAAGGGUGCAAGCGUUAAUCGGAAUUACUGGGCGUAAAGCGCGCGUAGGUGGUUCAGCAAGUUGGAUGUGAAAUCCCCGGGCUCAACCUGGGAACUGCAUCCAAAACUACUGAGCUAGAGUACGGUAGAGGGUGGUGGAAUUUCCUGUGUAGCGGUGAAAUGCGUAGAUAUAGGAAGGAACACCAGUGGCGAAGGCGACCACCUGGACUGAUACUGACACUGAGGUGCGAAAGCGUGGGGGAGCAAACAGGAUU
Molecule: ribosomal RNA, 701 nt
Filed under: Pseudomonas sp. Z4_186_4
Lineage: Bacteria; Pseudomonadati; Pseudomonadota; Gammaproteobacteria; Pseudomonadales; Pseudomonadaceae
Description: bacterial SSU rRNA
Rfam family: Bacterial small subunit ribosomal RNA
Source: RNAcentral